GCUCCAGUAGCUCAGUGGAUAGAGCAUCUGCCUUCUAAGCAGAUGGCCGUAGGUUCGAAUCCUACCUGGGGCG
RNAcentral lists this transfer RNA (73 nucleotides) under Trichocoleus sp. FACHB-262. It matches the Rfam family "tRNA". From Rfam's summary of the family: Transfer RNA (tRNA) molecules are approximately 80 nucleotides in length. Their secondary structure includes four short double-helical elements and three loops (D, anti-codon, and T loops). Lineage: Bacteria; Bacillati; Cyanobacteriota; Cyanophyceae; Leptolyngbyales; Trichocoleusaceae. The record is from Rfam by way of RNAcentral. RNAcentral also lists the same sequence under 2 other names.